UACGUAGGGAGCAAGCGUUGUCCGGAAUCAUUGGGCGUAAAGCGCGCGUAGGUGGCCAUGUAAGUCCGCUGUGAAAGUCAAAGGCUCAACCUUUGAAAGCCGGUGGAUACUGCAUGGCUAGAGUACGGAAGAGGAGAGUGGAAUUCCCGGUGUAGCGGUGAAUGACGCAGAUAUCGGGAAGAACACCCGUGGCGAAGGCGGCUCUCUGGGACGGUACUGACGCUGAGACGGCGAAAGCGUGGGGAGCGAAACAGGAUUAGAAUCCCGUAGUA
RNAcentral lists this ribosomal RNA (272 nucleotides) under uncultured bacterium. RNAcentral's name for it is "partial 16S ribosomal RNA". It matches the Rfam family "Bacterial small subunit ribosomal RNA", at positions 524 to 792 of the family's 1533-position model. The record is from RNAcentral.